UACGUAGGGGCCGAGCGUUGUCCGGAGUUAUUGGGCGUAAAGCGCGCGCAGGCGGCUUCGCGCGUCCGACGUGAAAGCCCCCGGCUUAACCGGGGAGGGUCGUUGGGUACGGCGAGGCUUGAGGGCGGGAGAGGGUGGUGGAAUUCCCGGUGUAGUGGUGAAAUGCGUAGAGAUCGGGAGGAACACCUGUGGCGAAGGCGGCCACCUGGGCCGACCCUGACGCUGAGGCGCGAAGGCGUGGGGAGCGAACGGG
RNAcentral lists this non-coding RNA (253 nucleotides) under uncultured bacterium. RNAcentral describes it as "partial 16S ribosomal RNA". It matches the Rfam family "Bacterial small subunit ribosomal RNA", at positions 524 to 776 of the family's 1533-position model. RNAcentral also lists the same sequence under 1 other name. The record is from RNAcentral.